Molecule: ribosomal RNA, 444 nt
Filed under: uncultured bacterium
Lineage: Bacteria
Description: SSU rRNA
Rfam family: Bacterial small subunit ribosomal RNA
Source: RNAcentral
AGAGCGAACGCUGGCGGCAGGCCUAACACAUGCAAGUCGAGCGCCCCGCAAGGGGAGCGGCAGACGGGAUAGUAACACGUGGGAACGUACCCUUCAGCUCGGAACAACCCAGGGAAACUUGGGCUAAUACCGGAUACGUCCGUAAGGAGAAAGAUUUAUCGCUGAGGGAUCGGCCCGCGUCUGAUUAGCUAGUUGGUGGGGUAAUGGCCCACCAAGGCGACGAUCAGUAGCUGGUCUGAGAGGAUGAUCAGCAUCACUGGGACUGAGACACGGCCCAGACUCCUACGGGAGGCAGCAGUGGGGAAUAUUGGACAAUGGGCGCAAGCCUGAUCCAGCCAUGCCGCGUGGAUGAUGAAGGCCCUAGGGUUGUAAAGUCCUUUCGGCGGGGAAGAUAAUGACGGUACCCGCAGAAGAAGCCCCGGCUAACUUCGUGCCAGCAGCCGC